This 396-nucleotide ribosomal RNA is filed under the name uncultured bacterium. RNAcentral's name for it is "partial 16S ribosomal RNA". It matches the Rfam family "Bacterial small subunit ribosomal RNA", at positions 523 to 919 of the family's 1533-position model. The record is from RNAcentral.
AUACGUAGGGUGCAAGCGUUAAUCGGAAUUACUGGGCGUAAAGCGUGCGCAGGCGGUUUUGUUAGACAGAGGUGAAAUCCCCGGGCUCCACCUGGGAACUGCCUUUGUGACUGCAAGGCUAGAGUACGGCAGAGGGGGAUGGAAAUUCGGGGGUAGGAGCGAAAUGCGUAGAUAUGCGGAGGAACAACGAUGGCGAAGGCAAUCCCCUGGGCCUGUACUGACGCUCAUGCACGAAAGCGUGGGGAGCAAACAGGAUUAGAUACCCUGGUAGUCCACGCCCUAAACGAUGUCAACUGGUUGUUGGGUCUUCAUUGACUCAGUAACGAAGCUAACGCGUGAAGUUGACCGCCUGGGGAGUACGGCCGCAAGGUUGAAACUCAAAUGAAUUGACGGGGG